UACGUAGGGUGCGAGCGUUGUCCGGAAUUAUUGGGCGUAAAGAGCUUGUAGGCGGUCUGUCGCGUCUGCUGUGAAAAUCCGGGGCUCAACCCCGGACUUGCAGUGGGUACGGGCAGACUAGAGUGUGGUAGGGGAGACUGGAAUUCCUGGUGUAGCGGUGAAAUGCGCAGAUAUCAGGAGGAACACCGAUGGCGAAGGCAGGUCUCUGGGCCACUACUGACGCUGAGACACGAAAGCGUGGGGAGCAAACAGG
This 253-nucleotide ribosomal RNA is filed under the name uncultured bacterium. Its description in RNAcentral is "partial 16S ribosomal RNA". It matches the Rfam family "Bacterial small subunit ribosomal RNA", at positions 524 to 776 of the family's 1533-position model. The record is from RNAcentral.